This 474-nucleotide ribosomal RNA is filed under the name uncultured organism. Its description in RNAcentral is "partial 16S ribosomal RNA". It matches the Rfam family "Bacterial small subunit ribosomal RNA", at positions 335 to 800 of the family's 1533-position model. The record is from RNAcentral.
ACUCCUGCGGGAGGCAGCAGUGGGGAAUUUUGGACAAUGGGCGAAAGCCUGAUCCAGCAAUGCCGCGUGCAGGAUGAAUGCCUUCGGGUUGUAAACUGCUUUUGUACGGAACGAAAAAGCUCCUUCUAAUACAGGGGGCCCAUGACGGUACCGUAAGAAUAAGCACCGGCUAACUACGUGCCAGCAGCCGCGGUAAUACGUAGGGUGCGAGCGUUAAUCGGAAUUACUGGGCGUAAAGCGUGCGCAGGCGGUUAGGUAAGACAGAUGUGAAAUCCCCGGGCUCAACCUGGGAACUGCAUUUGUGACUGCAUGGCUAGAGUACGGUAGAGGGGGAUGGAAUUCCGCGUGUAGCAGUGAAAUGCGUAGAUAUGCGGAGGAACACCGAUGGCGAAGGCAAUCCCCUGGACCUGUACUGACGCUCAUGCACGAAAGCGUGGGGAGCAAACAGGAUUAGAUACCCUGGUAGUCCCAUGA